AGAUUGAACGCUGGCGGCAGGCCUAACACAUGCAAGUCGAGCGGUAGAGAGGUGCUUGCAUCUCUUGAGAGCGGCGGACGGGUGAGUAAUGCCUAGGAAUCUGCCUAGUGGUGGGGGAUAACGUUCGGAAACGGACGCUAAUACCGCAUACGUCCUACGGGAGAAAGCGGGGGACCUUCGGGCCUCGCGCCAUUAGAUGAGCCUAGGUCGGAUUAGCUAGUUGGUGAGGUAAUGGCUCACCAAGGCGACGAUCCGUAACUGGUCUGAGAGGAUGAUCAGUCACACUGGAACUGAGACACGGUCCAGACUCCUACGGGAGGCAGCAGUGGGGAAUAUUGGACAAAUGGGCGAAAAGCCCGAUCCAGCCAUGCCGCGUGUGUGAAAGAAAGGUCUUCGGAUUGUAAAAGCAACUUUUAAGUUGGAGGAAGGUUUGUAAACCUAAUACGUUGACAACUUUGAACGUUACGACAAGAAAUAAAGCAACCGGCUAAACUUCGUCGCCAGCAGCCGA
This 511-nucleotide ribosomal RNA is filed under the name uncultured soil bacterium. Its description in RNAcentral is "bacterial SSU rRNA". It matches the Rfam family "Bacterial small subunit ribosomal RNA", at positions 26 to 518 of the family's 1533-position model. The record is from RNAcentral.